CAGUCGCCGCGGGAAUACAGAGGGUGCGAGCGUUAAUCGGAUUUACUGGGCGUAAAGCGUGCGUAGGCGGCUUCUUAAGUCGGAUGUUAAAUCCCUGAGCUUAACUUAGGAAUUGCAUUCGAUACUGGGAAGCUAGAGUAUGGGAGAGGAUGGUAGAAUUCCAGGUGUAGCGGUGAAAUGCGUAGAGAUCUGGAGGAAUACCGAUGGCGAAGGCAGCCAUCUGGCCUAAUACUGACGCUGAGGUACGAAAGCAUGGGGAGCAAACAGGAUUAGAUACCCCCGUAGUCCCUGUCUCUUAUAC
Molecule: ribosomal RNA, 301 nt
Filed under: uncultured bacterium
Lineage: Bacteria
Description: partial 16S ribosomal RNA
Rfam family: Bacterial small subunit ribosomal RNA
Source: RNAcentral